RNAcentral lists this ribosomal RNA (253 nucleotides) under uncultured bacterium. Its description in RNAcentral is "partial 16S ribosomal RNA". It matches the Rfam family "Bacterial small subunit ribosomal RNA", at positions 524 to 776 of the family's 1533-position model. The record is from RNAcentral.
UACGUAGGGGGCAAGCGUUGUCCGGAUUUAUUGGGCGUAAAGAGCGUGUAGGCGGCCUGGAAGGUCAGCUGUGAAAACUCGAGGCUCAACCUCGAGACGUCGGUUGAAACCACUUGGCUAGAGUCCGGAAGAGGAGUGUGGAAUUCCCGGUGUAGCGGUGAAAUGCGCAGAUAUCGGGAAGAACACCCGUGGCGAAGGCGGCACUCUGGGACGGUACUGACGCUGAGACGCGAAAGCGUGGGGAGCGAACAGG